GAUGAUGUAGAGUUUUUGAACUAUUCUAAAAGUUUGAAUACAUUAUAUUUGAUUUUGUGAAAUAUAUUCAUUGCUAUAAUAUAUUGAACUAUUGUAAGAGUACUUUUUGAACUAUUGUGUACACAUAUUUAGAAUAUUGCUUUAUAAGUAUGUGUAUGUACACAAGACAUACUAUCUUUUGAAGUUCAUUGCAAAUCUAUAUAUUUGAAUUA
This 212-nucleotide long non-coding RNA is filed under the name Solanum tuberosum (potato). RNAcentral describes it as "long non-coding RNA (STUB_LNC002922)". Lineage: Eukaryota; Viridiplantae; Streptophyta; Magnoliopsida; Solanales; Solanaceae. The record is from RNAcentral.